CCUGCGAGGCCUCACUGAGCGCCUGGUGCCCACUCCCUGCUGGCUCCAGACCAAGACGCAGCCCGUCCUCAGGUGGCGUCUAGCCUGCUCUCCCUCUGGGGAGCCCCUCACAUGGCAGAGUCUCUGAAAGAAAGCAGGGCCCCCAAAUCAGAAGGGAAGAGUCCUCUGGUGCAUAGUAAGCACCCGCUCGCUCGCUGGAGAUAACAUGCAGGGACCUGCUGUUUUGACAGUGGGAGGUCAGGGAGAAAGGAAGAGGAAGGAGCUCGAGAGUGCAGGCCAGAGGCACACAGCAGACUGUACUCACAGCCCAAGGAGCCAGGCCACCGCACAGUUUUGUCCAGCUUGGCUAAAGUGGAAAGGGGACCCGGUGGACGAGGGACACUGCAGUAAAUGUCUCUAAGUUUCAUAGUGCAUGGCCGGUUAUCUUCUGGACAGACCUCGUAUGUGACAGGACGUGGUGAGAGCUGCCAAGAAGUAAGAAGGAGUUCAAGAAAAGACUGUUGCACAUAAAAAUGUGCUAGAAGAAGCUCACUAGGAGGACAUGACUGCAAAGGCAUGGCCUACUCUCAUGCCCACCCAAGGGACCCAUGUGUGCUGGGUGUCACCCCAUCACUGACAGGGACAAGGACGAUGGUGGGCAGACCCCUCAUCCUCAAGGAGCAUCCAGCCCAGCAAAGGAGGGGAAAGGAGCGCCUGGCAUCUGGAUGGAGCUGAGGAGCUGCCGGAUUGGAGAGAGCUGAGAGUUGGCUGCUCACCAAGUCCACACGCAGGCACAUGCAGCCACAGACACCUUCACACAUCUCCACAGCCUGCAGGAAUGCAGCCAGACUUCAAGCACAACCGGAGUGCAGGGAAAUCUCCAGCACGACAGCAUGGCGAACUCUUCCUGAGGGAGCCCCCAACGUGUCCCCACACGGAAGAACGAAGCUGGAACCUCACCUCACGCCGCAUCUAAACAUUAACUCGAGGUAUCCCCAAGUCCUAAGUAGGAGCUAAGACUGCAAAGCUCUCAAAUGAAAACAGAGGGGAAAAGCUUUGUGACUUUGGAUUGGGCAAUGAUUUCUUGGAUUUGACACCAAAAGCACAAGCAACAAAAGAGAACAACAAAUAAACUAGAUCACAUCAAAAUUAAAAACUCUUGUGCACCAAAGGAUACAAUCAUCAGCAGGAAAAGGCAGCCCACAGAAUAAGAGAAAAUAUCCACAAGGCAUAUACCUGAUAAAGGACUAGUAUGCAGAAUACAUAAAGAACUCCUAAAAUUCAACAAAAACAACACCCCCCACACCCACCCACCAAACAACCCUGAUUUAAAGACAGGCAAAAAGCCCUGACCAUUGUGGCUCAGCUGGUGGAGUUUCAUCACACAAAGCGAAAAUGCCUGGGCUGUGAGCCUGGUCCCCAGCUGGGAUGCGUGCAAGAGGCAACUGAUCAAUGUUUCUCUCCCUCUUUUUUGUCCUCCUUCCCCUUCUCUCUAAACAUAAAUAAAAAUGGGCAAAGAACUUCAGCACACAUGUCUGCAAAGAAGAUAUAAAAACUGGCAAUAAGCAGAUGAAAAGAUGCUCAACAUCACUAAUCAUUAGGGAAAUGCAGAUCAAAGCCAUGAUGAGAUAGAACAUCAUACCCACUAGGACGGCUCAUACUGAAGCAACAAUAACAAGCAAAGCAAAGCAAAAACAAAACAAAACAAAACAAAACCAGAGAGUGUUGGCAAGGAGACACAAGACCCGGAACCCUUAAGCACUGUGGGCAGGAAUGUGAGAUGGGGUGGCCAUGGUGGAAAACAGUGUGAUGGUUCUUCAUAACUUCAACACAGACCUGCCAUGUGACCCAGCAAUCUCAACUCUGGGUCUGCACCCCAAAGAGGUGCAAGCAGUGACUUGGCUCUUUGCACACCCACGUUCACAGUGGCGUUAUUCACAGCCAAGAAGUGGAAGGAAACAACCCAAAUAUCCAUCAAAAGAUGACGGGAUAAGUAAAACGUGGUCCACCCAUACAGCGAGACAUUAUUCCACCUUAAAGUGGAGGAACGUUCUGGAAGCACAUUCUGCCACAACACAGGUGAACCUUGGGGCUGUGAUGCCUAGUGAAACAAGCCAAACAUAAAAAGACAAGUACCACAUGAUUCCACUCAGAAGAGGUGACAUUUAUAGAGACAAAAAGUGGAUGAUGGUUGCCAGGGGCCAAGGCGAAGGGAAAUUAUUUGAUGCGGAGAGUUUCAGUUUGGGAGGAUGAGAAAGUUCCAGAGACAAGCAGUGGUGAGGGCUGCAUAACAUUGUGAAUGUGCUUAAUCCCACUGGGCUGUGCCCUUAGAUGCGGUUAAAAUGGUGAAUCACCUAUUAUACAUAUUUUACCACAAUUCUAAAAAUUAAGUACCUGUGGGAGUAGUGAGGGGUAAGUGCAGACAACUGUCAUUGAACAACAAUAAAAUAAUUAAAAAAUUAAGUACCUACACAUAACUACAUAUACAUUUUAAAGCAUUAAGCUUUAUAGCUCAUUCAAUUCUUUAUAGCCAUAUCGAAGUCAGUGUUAAGCUCUGCAGCACUGAAACAAAAAACCGGAAAUAACGCACUAUGUCACCUUCUUUGCAUUAGUUAUCUUUAAAGGGAAGGUUAGGAAUGACCUCAACUUUUAUUUCUGCUACAGUUGUGAUUUUAAGCUGAGAGAUAUUAAAUAAUUUAAGUUUGAAAAAGAGUAUUAGAAUGUGUAAGUGGACUUGAUCUGU
Artibeus jamaicensis (Jamaican fruit-eating bat) is the source of this 2722-nucleotide long non-coding RNA. RefSeq lists it as uncharacterized. Lineage: Eukaryota; Metazoa; Chordata; Mammalia; Chiroptera; Phyllostomidae. The record is from RefSeq and is a predicted model, not a curated record. The transcript is spliced from 5 exons.